Molecule: ribosomal RNA, 931 nt
Filed under: uncultured bacterium
Lineage: Bacteria
Description: bacterial SSU rRNA
Rfam family: Bacterial small subunit ribosomal RNA
Source: RNAcentral
AGAGUUUGAUCCUGGCUCAGAACGAACGCUGGCGGCGCGCCUAACACAUGCAAGUCGAGCGCGAAAGGGGCUUCGGCUCCGAGUAGAGCGGCGAACGGGUGAGUAACACGUGGAUAACCUACCUCCAGGUCUGGAAUAACCUUCCGAAAGGAGGGCUAAUGCCGGAUGAGCCCCCGGCGGCUUCGGCCGCAGAGGGAAAAGCUGGCCUCUGCUUGCAAGCUGGCGCCUGGAGAUGGGCCUACGGCGCAUUAGCUAGUUGGUAGGGUAAUGGCCUACCAAGGCGACGAUGCGUAGCCGGCCUGAGAGGGUGAUCGGCCACACUGGGACUGAGACACGGCCCAGACUCCUACGGGAGGCAGCAGUAGGGAAUCUUCCGCAAUGGACGAAAGUCUGACGGAGCAACGCCGCGUGAGCGAGGAAGGUCUUCGGAUCGUAAAGCUCUGUUGCCGGAGACGAAACUCGAUGAGAGUGACUGCUCAUCGAUUGACGGUAUCCGAGAAGAAAGCCCCGGCUAACUACGUGCCAGCAGCCGCGGUAAUACGUAGGGGGCGAGCGUUGUCCGGAAUUAUUGGGCGUAAAGCGCGCGCAGGCGGCCGUUUAAGUUUGGUGUAACAGCCCUGGGCUCAACCGAGGGAGGCACUGAAAACUGGACGGCUUGAGUGCAGGAGAGGAAAGUGGAAUUCCACGUGUAGCGGUGAAAUGCGUAGAGAUGUGGAGGAACACCAGUGGCGAAGGCGGCUUUCUGGCCUGUAACUGACGCUGAGGCGCGAAAGCGUGGGUAGCGAACAGGAUUAGAUACCCUGGUAGUCCACGCCGUAAACGAUGAAUGCUAGGUGUUAGGGGUUUCGAUACCCUUGGUGCCGAAGUUAACACAGUAAGCAUUCCGCCUGGGGAGUACGGUCGCAAGACUGAAACUCAAAGGAAUUGACGG